AGCUGGAGAAGUGAGUUUGCUCCUACCUGCCUGCAUAGGCAGAGGUGAGUGCAACUGAGAAAGGAAGCAAGGUCUUGCUCCUUCACUGUGAGGUCUUAAUAAGUGGGUAAAAUGCACAGCGUUAGUUUUUCUGUCUUUAACUCUUACUGGGCCACGUCGUUGCAAAAUAAAUAUGAAAAUGG
Molecule: non-coding RNA, 182 nt
Organism: Meleagris gallopavo (turkey)
Lineage: Eukaryota; Metazoa; Chordata; Aves; Galliformes; Phasianidae
Source: RefSeq, a predicted model, not a curated record